This 323-nucleotide ribosomal RNA is filed under the name uncultured eukaryote. RNAcentral describes it as "partial 18S ribosomal RNA". It matches the Rfam family "Eukaryotic small subunit ribosomal RNA", at positions 1470 to 1796 of the family's 1831-position model. The record is from RNAcentral.
CCCUUAGAUGUUCUGGGCUGCACACGCGCUACACUGAAGGGAUCAGCGUGCUCUCCCUGUCCGAUAGGACCGGGUAACCCGCUGAACCCCCUUCGUGGUAGGGAUUGGAGCUUGCAAUUAUUCUCCAUGAACCAGGAAUUCCCAGUAAGCGCAAGUCAUAAGCUUGCGUUGAUUACGUCCUGCCCUUUGUACACACCGCCCGUCGCUACUACCGAUUGGACGUUUUAGUGAGACAUUUGGACUGGGUCAGAGUAGUCGAAAGACUAUUCUGUCUCGGAAAGACUUUCAAACUUGNGNGUCUAGNGGAAGUAAAANUCGUANCA